GUUAAGCGACUAAGCGUACACGGUGGAUGCCCUGGCAGUCAGAGGCGAUGAAGGGCGUGCUAAUCUGCGAUAAGCGCCGGUAAGGUGAUAUGAACCGUUAUAACCGGCGAUACCCGAAUGGGGAAACCCAGUGUGAUUCGUCACACUAUCAUUAACUGAAUCCAUAGGUUAAUGAGGCGAACCGGGGGAACUGAAACAUCUAAGUACCCCGAGGAAAAGAAAUCAACCGAGAUUCCCCCAGUAGCGGCGAGCGAACGGGGAGGAGCCCAGAGCCUGAAUCAGCAUGUGUGUUAGUGGAAGCGUCUGGAAAGGCGCGCGAUACAGGGUGACAGCCCCGUACACAAAAGCGCAUGUGCUGUGAGCUCGAUGAGUAGGGCGGGACACGUGGUAUCCUGUCUGAAUAUGGGGGGACCAUCCUCCAAGGCUAAAUACUCCUGACUGACCGAUAGUGAACCAGUACCGUGAGGGAAAGGCGAAAAGAACCCCGGCGAGGGGAGUGAAAAAGAACCUGAAACCGUGUACGUACAAGCAGUGGGAGCACCCUUCGGGGUGUGACUGCGUACCUUUUGUAUAAUGGGUCAGCGACUUAUAUUCUGUAGCAAGGUUAACCGUAUAGGGGAGCCGGAGGGAAACCGAGUCUUAACCGGGCGUUAAGUUGCAGGGUAUAGACCCGAAACCCGGUGAUCUAGCCAUGGGCAGGUUGAAGGUUGGGUAACACUAACUGGAGGACCGAACCGACUAAUGUUGAAAAAUUAGCGGAUGACCUGUGGCUGGGGGUGAAAGGCCAAUCAAACCGGGAGAUAGCUGGUUCUCCCCGAAAGCUAUUUAGGUAGCGCCUCGUGAAUUCAUCUCCGGGGGUAGAGCACUGUUUCGGCUAGGGGGCCAUCCCGGCUUACCAACCCGAUGCAAACUGCGAAUACCGGAGAAUGUUAUCACGGGAGACACACGGCGGGUGCUAACGUCCGUCGUGAAGAGGGAAACAACCCAGACCGCCAGCUAAGGUCCCAAAGUCAUGGUUAAGUGGGAAACGAUGUGGGAAGGCCCAGACAGCCAGGAUGUUGGCUUAGAAGCAGCCAUCAUUUAAAGAAAGCGUAAUAGCUCACUGGUCGAGUCGGCCUGCGCGGAAGAUGUAACGGGGCUAAACCAUGCACCGAAGCUGCGGCAGCGAACGUAUCACCCAAGACAACUUUACGGAGUUGACGAUUGACGGAGCGAAGCGACGUCAAAGCGUUCAUUAAAGUCGAGUUGGCUUAGGGAUACGUUCGUUGGGUAGGGGAGCGUUCUGUAAGCCUGUGAAGGUGUGUCGUGAGGCAUGCUGGAGGUAUCAGAAGUGCGAAUGCUGACAUAAGUAACGAUAAAGCGGGUGAAAAGCCCGCUCGCCGGAAGACCAAGGGUUCCUGUCCAACGUUAAUCGGGGCAGGGUGAGUCGACCCCUAAGGCGAGGCCGAAAGGCGUAGUCGAUGGGAAACGGGUUAAUAUUCCCGUACUUGGUGUUACUGCGAAGGGGGGACGGAGAAGGCUAUGUUGGCCGGGCGACGGUUGUCCCGGUUUAAGCGUGUAGGUGUGUGUUCCAGGUAAAUCCGGUU
RNAcentral lists this ribosomal RNA (1586 nucleotides) under Salmonella enterica. RNAcentral describes it as "partial 23S ribosomal RNA". It matches the Rfam family "Bacterial large subunit ribosomal RNA", at positions 1 to 1547 of the family's 2925-position model. RNAcentral also lists the same sequence under 1 other name. The record is from RNAcentral. Lineage: Bacteria; Pseudomonadati; Pseudomonadota; Gammaproteobacteria; Enterobacterales; Enterobacteriaceae.